RNAcentral lists this ribosomal RNA (253 nucleotides) under uncultured bacterium. RNAcentral describes it as "partial 16S ribosomal RNA". It matches the Rfam family "Bacterial small subunit ribosomal RNA", at positions 524 to 776 of the family's 1533-position model. The record is from RNAcentral.
UACGGGGGGGGCAAGCGUUGUUCGGAAUUACUGGGCGUAAAGGGCUCGUAGGCGGCCAACUAAGUCAGACGUGAAAUCCCUCGGCUUAACCGGGGAACUGCAUUUGUGACUGCAUAGCUAGAGUACGGUAGAGGGGGAUGGAAUUCCGCGUGUAGCAGUGAAAUGCGUAGAUAUGCGGAGGAACACCGAUGGCGAAGGCAAUCCCCUGGACCUGUACUGACGCUCAUGCACGAAAGCGUGGGGAGCAAACAGG